This 967-nucleotide ribosomal RNA is filed under the name uncultured Bacteroides sp. Its description in RNAcentral is "bacterial SSU rRNA". It matches the Rfam family "Bacterial small subunit ribosomal RNA", at positions 28 to 988 of the family's 1533-position model. Lineage: Bacteria; Pseudomonadati; Bacteroidota; Bacteroidia; Bacteroidales; Bacteroidaceae. The record is from RNAcentral.
GAUGAACGCUAGCGACAGGCUUAACACAUGCAAGUCGAGGGGCAGCACGGGAGUAGCAAUACAACUGGUGGCGACCGGCGCACGGGUGAGUAACGCGUAUGCAACCUACCUAUCAGAGGGGAAUAACCCGGCGAAAGUCGGACUAAUACCGCAUAAAACAGGGGCACCGCAUGGUGCUAUUUGUUAAAGAACUUCGCUGAUAGAUGGGCAUGCGUUCCAUUAGGUAGUUGGUGAGGUAACGGCUCACCAAGCCGACGAUGGAUAGGGGAACUGAGAGGUUGGUCCCCCACACUGGUACUGAGACACGGACCAGACUCCUACGGGAGGCAGCAGUGAGGAAUAUUGGUCAAUGGGCGAGAGCCUGAACCAGCCAAGUCGCGUGAAGGAAGAAGGACCUAUGGUUCGUAAACUUCUUUUGCAGGGGAAUAAAGUGCAGGACGUGUCCUGUUUUGUAUGUACCCUGAGAAUAAGGAUCGGCUAACUCCGUGCCAGCAGCCGCGGUAAUACGGAGGAUCCGAGCGUUAUCCGGAUUUAUUGGGUUUAAAGGGUGCGUAGGUGGUUUUAUAAGUCAGCGGUGAAAGUUUGCAGCUUAACUGUAAAAAUGCCGUUGAAACUGUAAGACUUGAGUGUAAAUGAGGUAGGCGGAAUGCGUGGUGUAGCGGUGAAAUGCAUAGAUAUCACGCAGAACUCCGAUUGCGAAGGCAGCUUACUAAGCUACAACUGACACUGAAGCACGAAAGCGUGGGGAUCAAACAGGAUUAGAUACCCUGGUAGUCCACGCAGUAAACGAUGAUUACUAGCUGUUUGCGAUACACAGUAAGCGGCACAGCGAAAGCGUUAAGUAAUCCACCUGGGGAGUACGCCCGGCAACGGUGAAACUCAAAGGAAUUGACGGGGGCCCGCACAAGCGGAGGAACAUGUGGUUUAAUUCGAUGAUGCGCGAGGAACCUUACCCGGGUUUGAACGU